GGAAGCGUGGCAGAGUGGUCGAUUGCACCGGUCUUGAAAACCGGCAACGUUUUACGACGUUCGUGAGUUCGAACCUCACCGCUUCCGCCA
RNAcentral lists this transfer RNA (90 nucleotides) under Rhodoferax sp. Its description in RNAcentral is "tRNA-Ser". It matches the Rfam family "tRNA". Rfam says of the family: Transfer RNA (tRNA) molecules are approximately 80 nucleotides in length. Lineage: Bacteria; Pseudomonadati; Pseudomonadota; Betaproteobacteria; Burkholderiales; Comamonadaceae. RNAcentral also lists the same sequence under 2 other names. The record is from RNAcentral.